This is a long non-coding RNA of Macaca fascicularis (crab-eating macaque), 2094 nucleotides long. The record is from Ensembl. Lineage: Eukaryota; Metazoa; Chordata; Mammalia; Primates; Cercopithecidae.
UCUGAGUCCUUUGGCCUUCACUCAGGUCAGAAUCGGAAGUCCCUGGUCCCCCGCUGAGAGAUUAGAACUUUCCAAGGAUUAGGAGAUUAUCCCAGGUGCCCGUGUCCAGGCUGGUGUCUGAGUUCUGUGCUCCCUCCCCACCCCCCUCCACAGGUAUCUGGUUCAUUCUUAGGACGGUCACAUACUGGUGCUGCUGGAGUGUCCCACGAGAGAUGCAAAGUGCCUGAGUUUUGGACUCUUCCUUUCAGACCCCCCUAAUUCACACGUGACCCACCAUCCUGUCUUUGACUAUGAGGCCACCCUGAGGUGCUGAGCCCUGGGCUUCUACCCUGUGGAGAUCAGACUGACCUGGCAGCGGGAGAGUGAGGACCAGACCCACGACGUGGAGCUCGUGGGGACCAGGCCUGCAGGGGAUAGAACCUUCCAGAAGUGGGCAGCUGUGGUGGUGCUCUUGAGAGGAGCAGAGAUUCACGUGCUAGGUGCAGCACCAGGGGCUGCCUGAGCCCCUCAUGCUGAGAUGGAGUAAGGAGGGAGAUGGAGGUAUCAUAUCUUUUAGGGAAAGCAGGAGCCCCUCUGGAGACCUUUAACAGGGUCGGUGGUGGGGCCUGGGGUCAGAGACCCUCACCUUCCCCCUCUUUCCCAGAGCAGUCUUUCCAGCCCACCAUCCCCAUCAUGGGCAUCAUUGCUGGACUGGUUGUCUUUACAGCUGUUGUCACUGAAGCUGUGGUCACUUUUGUGCUGUGGAGGAAGAAGAGCUCAGAUAGAAAAGGAGGGAGCUACUCUCAGGCUGCAAGUAAGUAUGAAGGAGGCUGAUCCCUGAGAUCCUUGGGAUCUUGUGGUUGGGAGCCCAUGGGGAGCUCACUCAGGCAAUAUUUCCUCCUCUCCUGUGGGCUCUGACCAGGUCCUGUUUAUGUUGUACCCCAGGCAGUGACAGUGUCCAGGGCUCUGAUGUCUCUCACGGCUUGUAAAUGUGAGACCCUGGGGGCCUGAUGUGUGUGGGUUUUUGGGGGGAACAGUGGACACAGCUGUGCCAUGAGGUUUCUUUGACUUGGAUGUAUUGAGCAUGUGCUGGGCUGUUUCAAGUGUCACCCCUCACUGUGACAGAUAUGAAUUUGUUCAUGAAUGUUUUUCUGCAGUCUGAGACAGCUGCCCUGUGUGGGACUGAGUGGCAAGAUUUGUUAACUCUUUCCCUUUGUGACUUCAAGAACCCUGACUUCUUUUUCUGCAAAGGCAUCUGAAUGUGUCUGUGUUCCUGUAGGCAUAAUGUGAGGAGGUGGAGAGACCAGCCCAACCCCAUGUCCACCAUGACCCUCUUCCCCACACUGACCUGCUUUCCUUCCCCAAUCACCUUUCCUGUUCCAGAAAUGGGGCUAGGAUAUCUCCAUCUCUGUCUCAACUUCAUGGUGCACUGAGCUAUAACUUCUUACUUCCCUAUUAAAAUUAGAAUCUGAGUAUAAAUUUACUUUUUCAAAUGAUUUCCAAGAGAGGUUGAUGGGUUAAUUAAAGGAGAAGAUUCCUGAAAUUUGAGAGACAAAAUAAAUGGAAGACAUGAGAACCUUCCACGGUACACAUGUUCUGUUAAUUUGUUGCAGAGGAGGAGACUAGAUGGGGCUGUGCACAGUGGGUGCUCAGGCCACCAUGAACUUUAUGUGGUCACUGCUCAGCUGGGUCACCAUUGCUGCUCCAUUGUCCUUGGCCCUUCAGUAGAACCUUGUCCCACCAGGACCUGUGAUCACAGGUGUUAGGCAGGAAUCUAGACCCAACAUGGUGGCGUUACCCGGCGUAGCAGGCCUUUUGUUAAAGACUCCCUUCACCCUUGUACACACCCACAGACUUACAUGCGUCAGAGUUCUGGCUGGGCAACCACACUCCCCCAUGACCCGCAGCUCACCUGCAUUCCACAAGUUCGUAAACAGCAGUUUCGGUUGACAGUUUCCAAAGAUCCCUUCCUCAUGACCCUUACUCAACUCCUGCCCUAGUAGUUUCAAGACCCCCAGGCCCUGUUUGCACAACCAGCUUCCCUACCUCUCGGGCUAUAAAAGCCCCUCAGUGCUACUUCCUCGGCCCUUUGGAACCAAGAAACCUCGCCUGCGA